GAACUGCUAAGUUUUCCUACUCUGGUACUGGCUCCUGCCUAGGUUUCUGCUCCAAUAAGUUGUAAUUCUCUGUAUUCCUCUAGCCUGCCUAUAUUUCCAGCUUUGGGGGCAGU
Molecule: non-coding RNA, 113 nt
Organism: Ceratotherium simum simum (southern white rhinoceros)
Lineage: Eukaryota; Metazoa; Chordata; Mammalia; Perissodactyla; Rhinocerotidae
Source: RefSeq, a predicted model, not a curated record